This 345-nucleotide unclassified non-coding RNA is filed under the name soil metagenome. Its description in RNAcentral is "partial contains 5.8S ribosomal RNA, internal transcribed spacer 2, and large subunit ribosomal RNA". The stretch from base 1 to 120 matches the Rfam family "5.8S ribosomal RNA", at positions 35 to 154 of the family's 154-position model. The record is from RNAcentral.
GAUGAAGAACGUAGCGAAAUGCGAUACGUAAUGUGAAUUGCAGAAUUCAGUGAAUCAUCGAGUCUUUGAACGCACAUUGCGCCCCCUGGUAUUCCGGGGGGCAUGCCUGUCCGAGCGUCAUUGCUGCCCUCAAGCACGGCUUGUGUGUUGGGCCUCCGUCCUCCUCCCGGGGGACGGGCCCGAAAGGCAGCGGCGGCACCGCGUCCGGUCCUCGAGCGUAUGGGGCUUCGUCACCCGCUCUUGUAGGCCCGGCCGGCGCUUGCCGACACAUCAAUCUAUUUUCCAGGUUGACCUCGGAUCAGGUAGGGAUACCCGCUGAACUUAAGCAUAUCAAUAAGCGGAGGA